This is a non-coding RNA of Callithrix jacchus (white-tufted-ear marmoset), 1550 nucleotides long. The record is from RefSeq and is a predicted model, not a curated record. Lineage: Eukaryota; Metazoa; Chordata; Mammalia; Primates; Cebidae.
AUGGUGGUGCUACACCGCAGCCUCAAAAAUGAGGACCUGGUCGUCAGUCACCACCCUGCCCUCUGUGACAAUCCUGCAGGUCAACAUGAUGUUAAUGGGCAGCUGCUGCUUGGAGCUCCGAUCUGUGUCAAAGACCAGCUCCUCCAGGAUUUCAUAGCUCUGAGAGAUCUUGAGGGAGAUGAAGUGGCCCUGGAAGUUGGGCUCGAUUGUCCUGACCACUAUUGUUAUCCUCAGGUUCUCAUAGAUCACAUACUGGAGGCAAACCUGGGUGAUCUUGAUCAGGUCCCCCUUGCAGAGCCAGCACUCUUUCCCCCUGAUGUCAUAGAUGGAGUUCGAAUAAGGCAUGGGUUCCAUGGUACCCGUGGCUCUCUGCUGCUGAGUGAGGUCCUGGCCCUGGAAGGCCCCUUCCUCCUGUCCAUGGAGAUCCUGAAGGUUCCUGAAUGGUGCCACAUCUUCUUUAGCCCAUGGUGCGCUCCUUGAAGAGAGGCCAGAGGCUUUGCAUCUAUGGCCUAGCCUCACCACCCUGGUGGGUCCUGGCCUCAAACAAGGGCCUCAGGGAGCCCAGGGUCCUCCUGGUGUCAGGGGCCUACCAGGGCAAGAUACGGCAGCGGCCAAGGGAGUUCCCCACAGCCUAUGACCUCCCGGGUGCAUCCAGCCAGGCCGGCCGCUCCAGGUGUGGCCACAAAGGAUUCUGAGGGCAAGAGAGAAAAGAAUCCUAAGUUCACAUCCCUGGCUGUGGGUGACAGGCUAGAGGUACUGCAGCCUGGCCUGGCCCAUGGGGCCCAGGGCAGUGUCAUUGACGUCUUGGUUUGUCAGCCACUGAGUGAUGAAUAUGAGGAGGCAGAGAGCCCAAAGCGGGUCCUGCUGCCCCUCCACUUCCCUGACAGCUUCGUGGAGGAGUUGAGUUACAGCUGAUGGUACAGCCUGGCAAAUCUGAUUGCCCAGUUCUCACUGCCUUUUGAGGUCAGGGUGAUAGUCAAGGAUCCCAGUUACCCCAGUAAACUUCUGACUGCUGUACUGGGUCUGUAGCUGGAGGAGAAGAUCACAGAGCCCUUCUUGGUGGUCAGCCUGGACUCCUAGCCUGGGAUGUGCUUUGAGAUCCCUCCCUGGUGGCUGGACCUGAUUGUCGUGGAGGCUGAGGUGCAGCCAGACAGGCCAGAGGGCCUGUGCCCAUAGCCACAGUGGAGGAGCUGCCAGACACCUUCUAUUACACUCUUCAGAAGUUAGCAGCCUGUGAGAUCCAAGCUCUUCCACAAGGCCCCCUAAAAGUCAGGGCCUCAGCGGGCAGAGGAGACAUAAGAGGAGCAAGAAAGGAGGCAUCAAGUCCUCUCAAGUCUUAGGACUGCAGCAACCCCCUGCACUACCCAAACCCAAGGCGAAGACCUUGCCAGAGUUCACCAAGGAUAGCUCCAGUAUGUACAGCAAGGAUAGCUCCAGUAUGUCCUGGCCACAAGAAGGGCCACAGGACCACUAGGCCCCAAACACAGGAUCUAGGUGAUAAUGAGCAUGAUUAUGAAGGAAAACUUGAACACUUUCAGAAAACCAUCUAA